UGGGCCGGGAAGUUGAAACGUCGCGCGCGCGCUGCGCGUCCCUUCAGAGGCCCUUUUCCAGCGUUCCAGGCAGCGGCCGGUCGUGGGGGAGGACCGAGGUGAGGCGCCGGCGAGGUGGGAAGGCAGGGGAGGCGUCGGCGCGGCAAGGGGAGGAGGGAAGAGAGAGAAAAGAGAGAGAGAAGGAAGAGAGGUCGACGCGCGCGGGGAAGGAAAGAAGAAAAAGGAAAAGGCCGGUCCGAUUCGACCG
This 247-nucleotide unclassified non-coding RNA is filed under the name Hevea brasiliensis (rubber tree). The record is from RNAcentral. Lineage: Eukaryota; Viridiplantae; Streptophyta; Magnoliopsida; Malpighiales; Euphorbiaceae.